CCUACGGGUGGCUGCAGUGGGGAAUAUUGGACAAUGGGGGCAACCCUGAUCCAGCCAUGCCGCGUGUGUGAAGAAGGCCCUCGGGUUGUAAAGCACUUUCAGUGAGGAAGAACGCCUGGUGGUUAAUACCCAUCAGGAAAGACAUCACUCACAGAAGAAGCACCGGCUAACUCCGUGCCAGCAGCCGCGGUAAUACGGAGGGUGCGAGCGUUAAUCGGAAUUACUGGGCGUAAAGCGCGCGUAGGUGGCUUGAUAAGCCGGUUGUGAAAGCCCCGGGCUCAACCUGGGAACAGCAUCCGGAACUGUCAAGCUAGAGUGCAGGAGAGGAAGGUAGAAUUCCCGGUGUAGCGGUGAAAUGCGUAGAGAUCGGGAGGAAUACCAGUGGCGAAGGCGGCCUUCUGGACUGACACUGACACUGAGGUGCGAAAGCGUGGGUAGCAAACAGGAUUAGAUACCCUUGUAGUC
RNAcentral lists this ribosomal RNA (465 nucleotides) under Vreelandella stevensii. RNAcentral describes it as "partial 16S ribosomal RNA". It matches the Rfam family "Bacterial small subunit ribosomal RNA", at positions 338 to 795 of the family's 1533-position model. Lineage: Bacteria; Pseudomonadati; Pseudomonadota; Gammaproteobacteria; Oceanospirillales; Halomonadaceae. The record is from RNAcentral.